This 418-nucleotide ribosomal RNA is filed under the name bacterium enrichment culture clone ALO1_GLFRUDD03G7EOW. RNAcentral describes it as "bacterial SSU rRNA". It matches the Rfam family "Bacterial small subunit ribosomal RNA", at positions 9 to 429 of the family's 1533-position model. The record is from RNAcentral.
GAGUUUGAUCAUGGCUCAGAUUGAACGCUGGCGGCAUGCCUUACACAUGCAAGUCGAACGGCAGCACGGGAGCUUGCUCCUGGUGGCGAGUGGCGAACGGGUGAGUAAUGCAUCGGAACGUAUCCUGGAGUGGGGGAUAACGUAGCGAAAGUUACGCUAAUACCGCAUAUUCUGUGAGCAGGAAAGCGGGGGACCUUCGGGCCUCGCGCUCUUGGAGCGGCCGAUGUCGGAUUAGCUAGUUGGUGAGGUAAAGGCUCACCAAGGCGACGAUCCGUAGCAGGUCUGAGAGGAUGAUCUGCCACACUGGAACUGAGACACGGUCCAGACUCCUACGGGAGGCAGCAGUGGGGGAUUUUGGACAAUGGGGGCAACCCUGAUCCAGCCAUGCCGCGUGAGUGAAGAAGGCCUCGGUUGUAAG